RNAcentral lists this long non-coding RNA (327 nucleotides) under Capsicum annuum. RNAcentral describes it as "long non-coding RNA (CANN_LNC013806)". Lineage: Eukaryota; Viridiplantae; Streptophyta; Magnoliopsida; Solanales; Solanaceae. The record is from RNAcentral.
AUUAUAUAGCAAAAUAUCUAGUAAGAAGUGAAGAAAUAAAAUCUAAUAGUAAUAUAUGCCCAGAUCUACCAAGGAGUCUAAUAAACAUUAAGGAUACGACAGAAAAAGAAAUAAUUAUAGGAGUUAGAAAAAUAAAAAUAGAAUUUGAAAUAAAGGAAGAAAUGCAAAUAGCAGAUAUAAUAUUAGGAAUAAAAUAGUUAGAACAAGUAAAAUUAUACAACAUAGAACAUACAUAAUUAUCUAUAACAUAUAAUAAAGAGAAAUUAUUCAUAAAAAGAACUUUAACAUGAUCUGAAAAUAUAUGUACUUGUAAAAAUAAUAGUAGAA